CCUACGGGAGGCAGCAGUGAGGAAUAUUGGUCAAUGGGCGUAAGCCUGAACCAGCCAAGUCGCGUGAGGGAUGAAGGUUCUAUGGAUCGUAAACCUCUUUUAUAAGGGAAUAAAGUGUGGGACGUGUCCUGUUUUGUAUGUACCUUAUGAAUAAGGAUCGGCUAACUCCGUGCCAGCAGCCGCGGUAAUACGGAGGAUCCGAGCGUUAUCCGGAUUUAUUGGGUUUAAGGGGUGCGUAGGCGGCCUUUUAAGUAAGCGGUGAAAGUCUGUGGCUCAACCAUAGAAUUGCCGUUGAAACUGGGAGGCUUGAGUAUGUUUGAGGCAGGCGGAAGGCGUGGUGUAGCGGUGAAAUGCUUAGAUAUCACGCAGAACCCCGAUUGCGAAGGCAGCCUGCCAAGCCAUGACUGACGCUGAUGCACGAAAGCGUGGGGAUCAAACAGGAUUAGAUACCCUAGUAGUC
RNAcentral lists this ribosomal RNA (460 nucleotides) under uncultured bacterium. RNAcentral describes it as "partial 16S ribosomal RNA". It matches the Rfam family "Bacterial small subunit ribosomal RNA", at positions 338 to 795 of the family's 1533-position model. The record is from RNAcentral.